GGCCACGUGGCGAAGUUGGUUAACNNGUGGCGAAGUGGCUAACGCGGCGGUCUGCAAAACCGUUAUGCGCCGGUUCAAAUCCGGCCGUGGCCUCCA
RNAcentral lists this transfer RNA (96 nucleotides) under Candidatus Uhrbacteria bacterium. Its description in RNAcentral is "tRNA-Cys". It matches the Rfam family "tRNA". Rfam says of the family: Transfer RNA (tRNA) molecules are approximately 80 nucleotides in length. Lineage: Bacteria; Candidatus Uhriibacteriota. The record is from RNAcentral.